AUACUUACCUGGCAGGGGAGAUACCAUGAUCAGGAAGGUGGUUUUCCCAGGGCGAGGCUUAUCCAUUGCACUCGGGAUAUGCUGACCCCUGCAAUUUCCCCAAAUGUGGGAAACUCGGCUGCAUAAUUUGUGGUAGUGGGGGACUGCGUUCGCGCUCUCCCCUA
This is a small nuclear RNA of Echinops telfairi (small Madagascar hedgehog), 164 nucleotides long. Its record names the gene U1. It matches the Rfam family "U1 spliceosomal RNA". From Rfam's summary of the family: U1 is a small nuclear RNA (snRNA) component of the spliceosome (involved in pre-mRNA splicing). Its 5' end forms complementary base pairs with the 5' splice junction, thus defining the 5' donor site of an intron. There are significant differences in sequence and secondary structure between metazoan and yeast U1 snRNAs, the latter being much longer (568 nucleotides as compared to 164 nucleotides in human). Lineage: Eukaryota; Metazoa; Chordata; Mammalia; Afrosoricida; Tenrecidae. The record is from Ensembl.